RNAcentral lists this non-coding RNA (149 nucleotides) under Azotobacter beijerinckii. The record is from RNAcentral. Lineage: Bacteria; Pseudomonadati; Pseudomonadota; Gammaproteobacteria; Pseudomonadales; Pseudomonadaceae.
CCCGUUGUGCGACCAAAGGUAGCCUAUGAAGACAUGCUUCACUGGUAACGGUGGGGUAUGAAGCUCUUCUGACAAUGUAGCCCCCAGUAUGGGUGCCUUUGGGCCGCGAGGCUGGAGGCAGUAGCUCGGAGUCGUACCGGGUCGAGGCG